Molecule: long non-coding RNA, 496 nt
Organism: Pseudopipra pipra
Lineage: Eukaryota; Metazoa; Chordata; Aves; Passeriformes; Pipridae
Exons: 3
Source: RefSeq, a predicted model, not a curated record
UAGCAACAGAAAGUCACACGCACAAUAUAGAAACUCUCUUGCUGGAAGAAACUGUAUAGAAACUCAGAUCCAACUUACUCUGUGGAGAGGGCCAAAUUAUCAUUUAAAUUUAACAUGUACCAAGCUCCAUGGUUGUUUCUUUGAUGAAACCAGUGCCAUCAUCUGACACCAAUCAGCUACUUCAGUGAUAAAGAAGUGUUGACAUCUACCAAGAAUCCUUUCUAAAUCUGUUCUUAAGAGCUGCAAUAGCUCAGGACUGAAGACCACUUGCUAGAUACAAGUCAGUACUGGAAACAGCUUACAACCACAUUAUUUUCCAUGGAGCUCAUCAAGACAAGAACAAGAGAAGCAAAAUUCCUUUUAAGAGUUCCCAGCAGUAGCCUCAGCACUUUUGGCAAGAAUAUGUAUGCACUGCAGUAGCACAAUGUAGCAGUGUGUGAGGGCAGAUUUGUUACUGGAAUUAGUCUAAUCACAGCAAUAAGUGCAGUCAAGUCAU